AAUAAGCAUUCAGCGUGAAAAAUUUAGGCCAGAGUUCAACUUUACCCUUCCAUUUCUUUCUCACCUCUAUUGCAGUUUUCUUCUUUUUUUCAUUCUUCUCCCAAUUUCCUUCCAACAUUCUCCCUCUUUUUCAUGCUUUUAUCCUCACCAACCCUUUGGCAAACCAUAACAACCCUCAACAAGGCCUUCAAUUAAGAAUCGUAUGACGUGAAAACUUGAGAAGAGAAAUAAUCGGAUUGGUUCGAUGUGAGCAAUCAUCCCUCAGGUAACUCUUCUCCCAUUUUGAUUUCCUUUUUUUCUAAUUUUUUUUGAUAAAUUAGUAGAAAUAAUAGGUUUCUUUUCAGUUUUGAAGAUUGAUACUGGUUUUAUUUUCAUGGUGUUUCUUCUUUUCACUUGCCAGUGUUAAAUUAAUGCUGCUGGCAUAAUAUAAGACAGUGUUAAAUUUCUGCCUCUCUGUUCACCCAGCUUGGUGGUUUUUCUCUCUGUUCACCCUGAAGCUUGUUUUACUAAUCGGUAAGUUUACAAUCAAAACUCUUUGAUUGCAUGCGUUAAGGGUUUUGGAACGGACAAUUUAUUUUCUCUUUAUUAUUCAUUCAAUGCAUUGAUGGAACUUCAAAUAAGCUAAUUAUAUGUGUUGUUUUGCCUUUAUUAUAGAAAUGAGAAGUGGAAUUGAGUAUGCAUUGAAUGCCUAAUAGAGUACUUAUGUACAGUAAAAAUUCUUGAUUUUUAAUCCUUUAAAAUGAUUAAAGAAAUAGAGUUAUGAAAUGUUUGUAACUACUGGGGGGAGAAAGAAAAUUUGUUUGGUAACGUGUAAUCCAUAGACUAAUUGUUAAAGUUGCAUAUGGCUACACCAUUUGUAUACUAAUUGUGCAAUCUCACAUUUCUUAACUUUUGGGUUUUGUUGUAGAUCCUUUAUUGAACUGUCAUUGCAACUUGUUCUGCUACUAAGGCUACUUGCAGUUUUCCCUAAACAACAUGGUCUGAAUAAGCCUUGUAUACUAAUUUGUAGGGAUAUGCCUUGUAGCUUGGUGAAAGGUAAAAUUACUUAUAAAAAAGCUGCAGCAUUGCUCUGUAUGUAAUUUAAAAUCUGAGAAUUGAUUGAGUUUCAAUAUUAAUAACAAAUCCAGCAUCCAUUAAAUUGUCCAUGUGGUUUAUAUUAAGAUUUUCUGCUUGAUGACCACUGAAAAAUCUAUUUGCGAGGCUUUGAGUUUAUGUUCUUGUGGAGCUUAUGAUUUGUUAAUUGUAAUUAAUUGUCAUUCAAAGGAUUUUACAGUUUUUUAUAGUUCUCACUCAAGCUACUGUUCUUUUUUUGUUGAUUGGAUAUGUAUUUGUCUCCAUUGUACUUCGCAUGCAGCAUUAGGGGGGAAGCAUUAGUCGGAUUUGGUUUGGGUGAUUUUUUUCGAUUAUAGGUUUAGUUUUUAUCAGUUGGGACAAUUUGAAAAUUGUAAUUUGCCAUUGCUAAUGGUUGUUGAUGUACAUAAAGGAGCUAUAUCGGACAAUAUGAAAUACCAAUGCUUCACGGCUUUGAAGGUGGGUGGGUACAUGCAAUGCUUGUGAAAAUCAAUGUAAUUUAUAAUGUUGAGAACAUAUUUUUACAGAUACAAUAGAUCAGUUAAGUGCUUGUUUCUAUUUUCUCUGUCUCCUUUUUUUGUUGCUCACUAUAUUGUUCUCUCUUCCAUCAUCUUUCACAAUCACUUCCCUUCUUCACCUUCUUCUCUAUGUCCUGCUCCUAGUUCCCUUUGUGUCCUUGUCUUGAUUCACCACCCGACAUGUAGUUUUAGCACCAGUGCCUCUUCAUUUCUUUUUUUUUUUCAUUUUUUUAACGUGUAUUGCAUCUGCUAAGUAUAUUUCCAUCCUCCAUCAAACGUGACAGCCCAUGUUUGUGUUUUAUAUCUCAUGUUAACUGUGUAAGUAUGAAACUAUAAAAUUAGUAAACAUGUGUUUAUUAAAUGUAUAAUGUUUCAUGUCAUGUCUACCUCCAUAAAUGUUUUUCCUUUUUAAAUCUGACACGUCAUCUAGUAGUAUUGAAUUUUUUUUUUUGUCAUUGUUGCCAUAAGAAAAAGGGAAAUUUAUGCUAACAAUGAUGCUAACAACCCAAGCUACUCCUAUUGUCUUAUCAGACUGUUGUAUGGUAAAAAACGGAAUGAUGGAGAAGCUUCCACAGCCCUCCGUUACUAUUCUCUUUACAUCAUUGUUUUGGCUAUGAAUGGUUAGUAAAUUUGGGUUUUUUUGCUUAUUAAUAUGUAUGGGGCUGCCUAACAUUUCCUCAAGUGUCAUAUUGAACACGAUUGGUUUUUUUUAAAAAGUUCUGCUUUGUCCCUGAUCACUUUUAUGUGUGCAACUUAAUGAAUGAAAAUUUACAAUCAAUUUUUCUUUUCCACUUUUCUUUUCAGGGGGAUGAACUGACCAAAAGGGAUUUUAGUGGUUCCAAGGUGAGUCCUAUUUUAUAGAAUUGAAACAACAAACCUACAUUAGAUGUUUGUGGAUUUUCCCUCCCCAUUAUUUAUAACAGAGGAGCCCUGGUUAUCAUACUCUUUUGAUCAUGGUUUGCCAAUGGCAUAAGAAGGUUUGUGGAUUUUAGUUCAUGCUUUGCUGAAGGUUGAAUCUAAUUUUAACAUGUAAGGCAAGCAGCUUACUUGCAUAUUUUGAAAGUGAUCAUAAAUUAUUUAGAUUUGCGGUUGCUAUUCUACUUAAUGGAGUGCUGGUAUUUCAUCUUUGAAUGGCAUCUAACUGUUCUUCAAUUCACAUUUCUCCAUUAUAAAGUGUGUGACUUUUGGUCAGAUGGUGCGGAAUUUUAGAGUACCUCUUCAACAAUUACUGGAGUCAGGGGAUAUUAAUCUCUGCUUUGCCAAAUAUUUUACUGUCAACUGCAGUUUUUGUUGGAAGAGUUUUUCUAAAGUGCCAUACUGUAUUGAGAUAUUUCUGAUUUAUCCAUACUUUUUUAAAAAAAUCAUGGUUGUGUUGAUGAUAUAAUUGCUUGCUUGUACUAAAAAUAAAAUAUUUGCAUGCUUAAAACUUUCUAUCCAUGGUUGGAACUUUCUGAUGCUUUUUAAUCCUUGUACCAAGUGCUAUUGAGUUGUAGAUUAGUAUAACAUCAUGUUAGCUUGAGGAAUUGUUUUAUGCUUCUCAUAUUGCUAUUGAGUUGUAGAUCGGUAUAACAUCCAUUCGAUACCUUUUUUGAAUUCUUAAGUAAUCAUUUGUAUAAAUUCUGAGAUAUUAAGAAUGAACAGUACGGUUUAAUAAUGUUGUGUUUUCUUUGGCAGAAUUGACUUCAAGAUAAGGACCAUAGAGCUUGAUAGAAAAAGGAUCAAGUUGCAUAUACUGCUGGGCAAGAGAGGUUUCGUACAAUAAUUAUUGGGUAUUGUUUUGGGUAUUGUUUUGCAUAAAUCUAUUAUUUGCAUAAUUAUUGGGAGGAAUAAUGCAACUUUUUAAAUAUAAACUAUCAAAUAAUAUUGCUAACAAAGAUAGUUUGAAAGAAGAUUGAUAAGCAAGAUCUUUGGCAUUAUAUAAAAGAUCUGUUUUACCAUUUA
RNAcentral lists this long non-coding RNA (3530 nucleotides) under Gossypium barbadense (sea-island cotton). RNAcentral describes it as "long non-coding RNA (GBAR_LNC001906)". The record is from RNAcentral. Lineage: Eukaryota; Viridiplantae; Streptophyta; Magnoliopsida; Malvales; Malvaceae.